Bactrocera neohumeralis is the source of this 411-nucleotide long non-coding RNA. RefSeq lists it as uncharacterized. The transcript is spliced from 2 exons. The record is from RefSeq and is a predicted model, not a curated record. Lineage: Eukaryota; Metazoa; Arthropoda; Insecta; Diptera; Tephritidae.
UUCGAGCAGUUUGGUUUGUAAACGAAAAAAACGGCGUGUAAAUGUGUUGUUGCCGUUGAAAUAUCUGUGUUGUAAAUGAAGCAAAAGAAAAAGGCGCAGCAGCGCAACGCGGCGUUAAACAGUUAAAAACUUGAAACAAAAACAAAACAACUACAAAAUUAAAACAACGCAAUAAGAAAUUGGUGAAGAAAUAUUAUAGUAAAUACAUAAACGUUAAUAUAUAAACGUUUAAACAGUUUUAUCCAAAGAAAUAUAGUAACACAAAAUUCUAAAGCGUGAAUACUUUCGACAAAACAAGAAAAAUGCUAACUAAAUCUAUAAUGCUUAUUAAAUGUCUGUAAAAAAGUUCAUAAAUUUCUGAAAAUUAUAAUAAAUAAACAUUAAAGAAAUAUCUAUGUAUUUAUAAAAUAU